This 245-nucleotide ribosomal RNA is filed under the name uncultured bacterium. Its description in RNAcentral is "partial 16S ribosomal RNA". It matches the Rfam family "Bacterial small subunit ribosomal RNA", at positions 524 to 768 of the family's 1533-position model. The record is from RNAcentral.
CACGUAGGAGGCAAGCGUUAUCCGAAUUUACUGGGCGUAAAGCGUGUGCAGGCGGUUCGGUAAGUUGGAUGUGAAAUCUCCCGGCUCAACUGGGAGGGGUCGUUCAAGACUGUCGGACUGGAGGGCGGUAGAGGGAGGUGGAAUUCCCGGUGUAGUGGUGAAAUGCGUAGAGAUCGGGAGGAACACCUGUGGCGAAAGCGGCCUCCUGGACCGCACCUGACGCUGAGACACGAAAGCUAGGGGAG